UCGGAAGCUAAGCAGGGUCGGGCCUGGUUAGUACUUGGGUAGGAGACUGCCUGGGAAUGCCAGGUGCUGUAAGCUU
RNAcentral lists this ribosomal RNA (76 nucleotides) under Coregonus artedi (cisco). The record is from RNAcentral. Lineage: Eukaryota; Metazoa; Chordata; Actinopteri; Salmoniformes; Salmonidae.